AGAGUUUGAUCCUGGCUCAGGAUAAACGCUGGCGGCGUGCCUAACACAUGCAAGUCGAACGCCCUCCCUUGCAAAAGGGAGGGGGUGGCGGACGGGUGAGUAACACAUGGGUACCUGCCCCGCAGUGAGGGAUACCGGCGCGAAAGCGCCGACAAGCCCGCAUACGCUCCCCUUCGCGAGAGGGGGAGCAAAGCUGGCAACAGCGCUGUGGGAGGGGCCUGUGGCCGAUUAGCUAGCUGGUGAGGUAACGGCUCACCAGGGCGACGAUCGGUAGCUGGUCUGAGAGGACGAUCAGCCACACUGGGAUUGAGAACGGCCCAGACUCCUACGGGGGGCAGCAGUGAGGAAUUUUCGGCAAUGGGCAGAAGCCUGACCGAGCAACGCCGCGUGCAGGAGGACGCUUUUCGGAGUGUAAACUGCUUUUCCCAGGGACGAGAAAGGGACGGUACCUGGGGAAGAAGCCCCGGCUAACUACGUGCCAGCAGCCGCGGUAAGACGUAGGGGGCGAGCGUUGUCCGGAGUUACUGGGCGUAAAGCGCCCGCAGGCGGUCUGGCGCGUUGGGGGUGACAGUCGGCGGCUUAACUGCCGAAGGACUCACAAGACGGCUGGACUGGAGGGCCUCAGAGGGACAUGGAAGUCCGGGUGGAGCGGUGAAAUGCGUAGAGAUCCGGAGGAACACCAAAGGCGAAGGCAGUGUCCUGGGAGGCACCUGACGCUCGGGGGCGAAGGCCAGGGGAGCGAACGGGAUUAGAUACCCCGGUAGUCCUGGCGGUAAACGGUGACCACUAGGUGUGCGGCGUAUCGACCCGCUGCGUGCCGACGCAAACGCAAUAAGUGGUCCGCCUGGGGAGUACGGUCGCAAGAUUAAAACUCAAAGGAAUUGACGG
Molecule: ribosomal RNA, 888 nt
Filed under: uncultured bacterium
Lineage: Bacteria
Description: bacterial SSU rRNA
Rfam family: Bacterial small subunit ribosomal RNA
Source: RNAcentral